AAUAGAUACCCCGGUAGUCCACGCCGUAAACGAUGUCGACUUGGAGGUUGUUCCCUUGAGGAGUGGCUUCCGGAGCUAACGCGUUAAGUCGACCGCCUGGGGAGUACGGCCGCAAGGUUAAAACUCAAAUGAAUUGACGGGGGCCCGCACAAGCGGUGGAGCAUGUGGUUUAAUUCGAUGCAACGCGAAGAACCUUACCUACUCUUGACAUCCAGAGAACUUAGCAGAGAUGCUUUGGUGCCUUCGGGAACUCUGAGACAGGUGCUGCAUGGCUGUCGUCAGCUCGUGUUGUGAAAUGUUGGGUUAAGUCCCGCAACGAGCGCAACCCUUAUCCUUUGUUGCCAGCGGUCCGGCCGGGAACUCAAAGGAGACUGCCAGUGAUAAACUGGAGGAAGGUGGGGAUGACGUCAAGUCAUCAUGGCCCUUACGAGUAGGGCUACACACGUGCUACAAUGGCGCAUACAAAAGAGAAAGCGACCUCGCGAGAGCAAGCGGACCUCAUAAAGUGCGUCGUAGUCCGGAUUGGAGU
This 529-nucleotide ribosomal RNA is filed under the name uncultured bacterium. RNAcentral's name for it is "bacterial SSU rRNA". It matches the Rfam family "Bacterial small subunit ribosomal RNA", at positions 777 to 1304 of the family's 1533-position model. The record is from RNAcentral.